This 2267-nucleotide small RNA is filed under the name Histoplasma capsulatum var. duboisii H88. RNAcentral describes it as "Histoplasma capsulatum H88 hypothetical RNA". The record is from RNAcentral. Lineage: Eukaryota; Fungi; Ascomycota; Eurotiomycetes; Onygenales; Ajellomycetaceae.
UCUUGGCUUUCUUAUCCUCCAAGUAGCCUUUGAGUGGAGAUAUUCGCCCCUGUUGCUCCAGCCAACAGCCAGCCUGGCCUUGCAGUGAUACCGUUGCUUCGUUGUGACAUGGGCCAAGGUUAACCGGCUCUUGGUUUUGUUGGGCAGAUUGUUCUUGGCUUCAAUUUUUCUUUUUUCAUUUCCACACAGGUUUGAGGGCUGGGUCGAUAUAAAGGACUAUGUAGCGUCUUCACUAACUAAAUAAAAUAGUUGCGUCGGACAUUGUUAACUAUUCAACUCCAUCACGUUGCAACUUCGAGUUCUUAAUUCCGAGCAAAACUGGCCACUGGCACACCUCAAGAAGCCGGCAGACACCACUGGUGUCCGUUGUCAUUACUGUUGACGUUAAUAAUUAAUAAAGAGUCCCCGAGCUUGCCGCAUCUCCUCUCUUUAUCUUUACAUCGUGUAUCCUCGCCGUCGAUGUCUUUGCUCAAAUGAACUCUGGUGCAGUAAAGCGUGCAACAGUUCGUGCUUGGACGCUGACUGAUAGCUACAGCUUCAUCGCGACUUUCCUACGUCGUCACCACAACACCAAUGCUGAGCACCAACAACAUCAACCUCAGCUUCAGGCGCAACCUCAGCUCCAGCAGCCCCAGCAGCCGGCCUCGCAGUACAGCCAACGACGACAGCAGCAUGAUGGAGCCUACGGCAGCACCGGCCGCCACUUUCACGACUACUUCGUAACCCACCUCCCCUCCUCCUCUCUACACCCCGACUCCCGCGCUUCUCGAGGGCCUCACCACAAACUACCCCGGUCAGCUUCGACACCGCACACUGCCAGUAACGCACGAGGCCCAUCCCCGGCCACCGUGCAGCCACCCAUCGGUAUCUCGCGCGAAACAACCGUCGUCCGCAUCCCGCUGCGCAGCGCAAAACAUCAUUUCGGCGUCAACGUUGCGCGGGGAACACGCCCCACGAACGAAGAUACAUAUCAAGCCGGAGUGAUUGAUAUACCAGCCUUUGCGCGACGGGCUCCACGGUCGUUGACGAUUGGCGCACGGUCUGCUGCGGCUGCGGCAGCUAGAGGGGCGACUGUUACCGGUGGAAGAGCGGGUAAGGAGAAGGGAGAAGUGGACGACCAGAAUCAAGCGGCGGAGAGUGCGAGUGGGGACCCGCAGGUGUUUUACUUUGGGGUGUUUGACGGACAUGGUGGGAGUGAGUGUAGUGAGUUUCUGAGGGAUUAUUUGCAUGAGUAUGUGCAGGAUGCGGCUGUGGCGUUUGAGAUGCAAUCGAGUUUGAAGCGAGAGGUUGAGAUUGGGAAGAGAGUGCCGGAGAGGGGCCUUCAUAGCUCUGGUGAAAGGAUCAAGGGGGAAUCGGAGGAUCGUGGUAGGGGUUCAAUACACAGCACCAAGGAGAGAGAGUCAUUACAUCCCCAAGGUGACCUGCCGAUUAUCCAGCGGGCUAAUAGGCAGAAAAUCGACGAGCUGGAAAAAGAAUUGGUGCUCAACUGGAGACAUCUAGUAGGGGGCUACUACCGGCGAUUCCGCCCAUCGCAUUUCUAUAAUGGUGAGCACCACUCAUCCAGAACCGCUUCUCACCAUACCACAGCAUCCCCACAUGGCGGCGCUACGAUCGAAGAACUACUUGAAUACGCCUUUCUAAAGGCAGAUUUCGACUUCGUUUCCACCCAAGCUGCCAAGAAAGAUGAAAACGAUCUCGUCCACGCCGAGAAACCCCUCAAUGAAGCCGACAUCCUGCACAGCCCGAGCAGGCCCCGGCACCCUGUCAUUGGCGGACCCCAUCGCUUCAAAGGCGGCAGCACAGCCAGUAUCGCCAUGAUUUCCACCCCUAGCCCAAUGCCAUUCUGGCAUCCGUCAACCCCUUCCUCGCUCAUCGUUUCACACGUCGGCGACACCCGUAUCCUCCUCUGCUCCACCGCAACCGGCCUCGCCAUCUCGCUCACGACAGACCACCACCCAUCCGCUCUGAUCGAAGGUAGGCGACUACGCCGCUACGCAGCAACGUUCGUCACGGACUCUUUCGGCCAGGAGCGCAUGAGCGGGCUUGCCAACACGCGCGCGUUCGGAGACAUGCAAUCCAAGCGCAUCGGGGUCUCUGCGGAACCGGAGCUGCGGCGCGUGGAGAUGGGUCCAGCCGAGUAUUCAUUCUUGGUGCUGAUGACGGACGGGGUGAGCGGGGCGAUGUCUGAUCAAGAGGUGGUGGAUGUGAUCAAGGAGGCGCGGACGCCCGACGAGGGGGCGAGGGAUGUUGUCGGGUUUGCGACGGAG